This 301-nucleotide ribosomal RNA is filed under the name uncultured bacterium. RNAcentral describes it as "partial 16S ribosomal RNA". It matches the Rfam family "Bacterial small subunit ribosomal RNA", at positions 509 to 807 of the family's 1533-position model. The record is from RNAcentral.
CAGUCGCCGCGGUAAUACAGAGGGUGCGAGCGUUAAUCGGAUUUACUGGGCGUAAAGCGUGCGUAGGCGGCUUUUUAAGUCGGAUGUGAAAUCCCUGAGCUUAACUUAGGAAUUGCAUUCGAUACUGGGAAGCUAGAGUAUGGGAGAGGAUGGUAGAAUUCCAGGUGUAGCGGUGAAAUGCGUAGAGAUCUGGAGGAAUACCGAUGGCGAAGGCAGCCAUCUGGCCCAAUACUGACGCUGAGGUACGAAAGCAUGGGGAGCAAACAGGAUUAGAUACCCCAGUAGUCCCUGUCUCUUAUAC